Molecule: long non-coding RNA, 1740 nt
Organism: Coturnix japonica (Japanese quail)
Lineage: Eukaryota; Metazoa; Chordata; Aves; Galliformes; Phasianidae
Source: Ensembl
AUGGCGAAGGAGCAGGACCAGAAGGCCCACUCCCAAGCUGAUAAAAGACUGCCGAGUGUGCGGGAACAGCGCCAGGUGGGCCGCAGGCCGCAGCAAGCUGUGCUGCCAGGCAGACAGAGCCAGGAUUUGUCUGUCCGUGGGAUCCAACUGCCACCACUGCCCCACCCAGCACAAGCCUCUGGGAGCCGCCGUGCACAGGCGGACAGACCGGAGCUCAGGCAGGGACUGCCCCGCAGCAGUGGCUCUGGGGAAGGGAGACGGCCUCUGCCAGCCUUGCCGCCUCUCCCACAGGGGGCGCUGUCACUGCCAGCUGCGCCCCAGAAUGCAGCCACUGCUCGGGGACAAGUUCACACCUUGUCCACACUGCCACCAAUAGCCUCCAGAAGUUUUCCAAGAGGCAGAGCUGCCAGUGCUGUGAGAGCUACCACCAGCAGAGUGGCUGUCCCAGGUCUUCAGGACAACCCUCAGCCCCAGGAAACGGCAGUGAGGGCCGAGGGCUGGCAGGCAGAUCUAUCUGUCCCUGCACUCCCCCUCAGGCCUGCAGAGAAGACACCCGAGUCCCUCAGGCUGGCGUAUCGGAUGCGUCCAGCAGCCAUAAGAUCAGGACCCUGGCUGAAACCAGCACAACCUAGACAACGUGCACCCACCAGCACUGUAAGAACACCGGCACGAAGAACCCAGGUGCUGGCCCCCAAGGCUGGGAAAGUCACUGAGAAUGAGACGCAACGUGCUGCCAGUGCUCAGGAGGACAGCGGAGAUGCUCACAGGGUCUCUACAUCACGCUCCCUGGCAGCAGAGCAGGCAGCAGAGAAGGAAGCAGAGCAGGCAGCAGAGCAGGCAGCAGACAAUGGUGCCAAAGAUGCCGAAGACAGCAAAGAGAGGGCCCGCUCUGCCAGGAGAGGGGACAGGUUCCUGCCCUGCUCUCUUUGCUGUUCCACCUACAGCGCUGUUGGCAAAGAUGAGCAGGAUGAGGGGAAAGACACCUCUGGGAGAGACGCUAUGUCAGUGGCAGGAAAGGAGCCUGUGAGCACAUCAUUUCCUGGGGCAGAGGCCCUGCCUCCAGCGUCUUCAGUGCCUGGAAACCUUCAGCAUGAUGAGGACAGCCUGGAGAUCAGGGACACAUUCACCCACAGCAGCACGCCAGGGGAGGGGAGACAGCCUCUGCCAACUUGUGGACCAUCCCUGUGUGUCCCUGCACCCCCUCUCAAGCCUGCACAUGCCACACGCAAAUCCUACAAUUUGACAUACAGAAGGCGUCCUGUAGCCACCAGACCUAGACCCUGCCGGAAACCAGCAAGUCCAAGGCAGAGUGCACCCACCAGCACUGAGGAAACAGCAGCACAAGCAACGCAGUUGCUGGCCCCCCAGGUUGGGAGCAGCCCCACACAUCAGACACCACCUGCUCCCAGUGCUCAGGAGGGCAGUAAAGAUGCUGUCAAGGCCCCUGAAUCACAUUCCCAGGAGGCAGAGCAGGCAGCAGAAGGUGGUGCCAGAGCUGCUGGCACUCCUCAGGACAUGCUGGUUGAAAAGGAUGAUGAAGAAAGGGCAUGUUCCAGCAAGAGAGGGGGCAUGUUCCUGCCCUUCUUUCUUUGCUGCUCCACCUCCACCUCCACCAGUUCUCUGAUGGAUGAGGUGGAAGACGAGGAAGAGAGCGUAGACAUUCCUAUUUGGGAGGGAUCACAUAGUUAUUCCUCAACACAUCUUGAUGACCAAGAAAACAUAGAAGAUAACAGGCAGUAG